RNAcentral lists this small RNA (2128 nucleotides) under Pongo abelii (Sumatran orangutan). RNAcentral describes it as "retained intron". The record is from RNAcentral. Lineage: Eukaryota; Metazoa; Chordata; Mammalia; Primates; Hominidae.
CUCCUGUGAACCUCAGUUUCUCCCAAAGUGGAAGUGAUAGGAUGAUCCUGAGGGUUCAGCUUUUGCAUUCAUACUACCAUCCCUGCCACCCCCUCCCCCCAUCCCAGCCAUCUAACCUUUGGGAGUACCUAGGGAUGCUCCUGGUGCGGAUAGCACCACCCCCAGCUCCCAUUCACACACCAUUCCAUUAUUCCUUUCCCCCGCCCCGCUCCCAAGUCCUCUUGUAAUGGCCUUGGGCUGUGCUGCAUGCUAGAAUCCUUGAGAUGUAUCCUGCUCUUUCUUCGUAGCUGGUGAGCUUGUUGCUCAUUGGAGUGGCUGCUUGGGGCAAGGGCCUGGGUCUGGUGUCCAGCAUCCACAUCAUCGGCGGAGUCAUUGCUGUGGGAGUCUUCCUUCUCCUUAUUGCAGUGGCUGGACUGGUGGGUGCUGUCAACCACCACCAAGUCCUGCUGUUCUUUUACAUGAUCAUCCUUGGUUUGGUCUUCAUCUUCCAAUUUGUAAUCUCUUGCUCAUGUCUGGCUAUUAACCGAAGCAAACAGGUAAGACAGUACCCUUUCAAGUACUUACUUGCUUUUUAAAAUUUUCCUCUUAACCUCGAACUCCUUCCUUAGUCUGGCCCCAACUACCCAAAGAUCAUCCUUAGGUGCACUGCCUCUGGCCUCCUGGGCUAUUUGCGUCCUCUGGGAUGUCUGGUUAAUUUUCCAUGAGGAUGAUCUAGAGAACCUGAAAAGGUAGAUAUUUAUCGUGUUUAUAAUUGUUGCACACUGUUAUGCUUCUGUUUGACUUCCUUUGCUGGACUAGGGAAAUUGAGGCACUUGAACUGAAACCAGGAUGUAGGGAGACUUAAUUUCCCUCUACCCAUAUCUUCCAGGCAGAUGUCAUCAAUGCUUCUUGGUGGGUGAUGAGCAACAAGACUCGGGAUGAACUGGAAAGAAGUUUUGAUUGUUGUGGCUUAUUCAACCUCACAACCCUGUAUCAACAAGAUUAUGAUUUCUGCACUGCAAUCUGCAAGAGCCAGAGCCCCACAUGCCAGAUGUGUGGAGAAAAGUUUCUUAAGUAUUCAGAUGAAGCCCUGAAAAUCCUAGGGGGUGUUGGACUCUUCUUUAGCUUUACAGAGAUCCUUGGUGUUUGGCUAGCAAUGAGAUUUCGGAAUCUGAAGGAUCCUAGAGCCAACCCCAGUGCCUUUCUAUGAGACUUUGGAUCCUUCUGACUUCUCUUCUGCUCUCUCUAAGCUUUCUCUUCCUCCCGUAGGGAAUGUCUAGGGUCUGUAACCGUUUUGGUUUGAGAAAAAGGAAAGGCCCCUUGUCACAUCCUCUAAAAUUGAUGGAAUAGCAAGAUUUUAUGCCUUGACAUAUUUUACUGGGAGCCAGACUAUAAGGAAUAAAAGGAAAAACUUUCUCCCUCUCUCUCCAAGAGGAUAUGGGAAGCUUCUAGGAGUGCAUAGGAUGGGGGCUGGAGUCAUUCUUAGCUGUUUCCCCUCCUCCUCCGUCCAUAUGCUGGAUCAUCUCAACAUACCCUGGUGUGGCACUAAGGGUAAAUCAGGGAUAGAGCCAAGGAGAAAACAACCAAGAACUCUUUCCUGUAAUAAGCAGGACCCAGUUUGAGAAAGUUCAGCGAAUAUAAAAGUAAAAGCCAUUUGAAAAUCUGUAUUCUUUUUUUUUUUUUUGACACACAGUCUUGCUUUGUCACCCAGGCUGGAGUGCAAUGGCAUGAUCUCGGCUCACUGCAACCUCUGCCUCCCGGGUUCAAGCGAUUCUCCUGCCUCAGUCUCCCAAGUAGCUGGGAGUAGCUUGGGUGGUGUGCACCACCACACCCGGCUAAUUUUGUAUUUUUAGUAGAGACAGGGUUUCCACCAUGUUAGUCAGGCUGGUCUCGAACUCCUGACCUCAGGUGAUCCACCCGUGUUGGCCUCCCAAAGUGCUGGGAUUAUAGGCGUGAGCCACCGCGCCCCGCCUAAAAUCCAUAUUCAAAGAAGCAAUUUCAGUUCCUUUCUAAGCUUUGUCAGUCAAGGGGCUCCACUGACUUCCUAGGCCCUGUAACUUAACCAGUCUUUAAGGUUUUGCAGGAAAGUCCCUCCUUCCAAGUGGUUUUUCCAAAUCGCACAAUGGCAAAGCCAAACAGAGGAAGAAAC